This 465-nucleotide ribosomal RNA is filed under the name Sporosarcina saromensis. RNAcentral's name for it is "bacterial SSU rRNA". It matches the Rfam family "Bacterial small subunit ribosomal RNA", at positions 9 to 463 of the family's 1533-position model. Lineage: Bacteria; Bacillati; Bacillota; Bacilli; Caryophanales; Caryophanaceae. The record is from RNAcentral.
GAGUUUGAUCCAUGGCUCAGGACGAACGCUGGCGGCGUGCCUAAUACAUGCAAGUCGAGCGGAUUGAAGGGAGCUUGCUCCCUGAUAUUAGCGGCGGACGGGUGAGUCUCACGUGGGCAACCUGCCCUGCAGAUGGGGAUAACUCCGGGAAACCGGGGCUAAUACCGAAUAAUCGGUUCUUCCGCAUGGAAGAACUCUGAAAGACGGUUUCGGCUGUCACUGCAGGAUGGGCCCGCGGCGCAUUAGCUAGUUGGUGGGGUAAUGGCCUACCAAGGCGACGAUGCGUAGCCGACCUGAGAGGGUGAUCGGCCACACUGGGACUGAGACACGGCCCAGACUCCUACGGGAGGCAGCAGUAGGGAAUCUUCCACAAUGGACGAAAGUCUGAUGGAGCAACGCCGCGUGAGCGAAGAAGCUUUUCGGAUCGUAAAGCUCUGUUGCGAGGGAAGAGCAAGUACGAGAGUA